CCUACGGGAGGCAGCAGUGAGGAAUAUUGGUCAAUGGCCGAGAGGCUGAACCAGCCAAGUAGCGUGCAGGACGACGGCCCUAUGGGUUGUAAACUGCUUUUAUCGGGUAAUAAAGUAUCCUACGUGUAGGGUUUUGUAGGUACCCGAUGAAUAAGGACCGGCUAAUUCCGUGCCAGCAGCCGCGGUAAU
Molecule: ribosomal RNA, 189 nt
Filed under: uncultured bacterium
Lineage: Bacteria
Description: partial 16S ribosomal RNA
Rfam family: Bacterial small subunit ribosomal RNA
Source: RNAcentral